Molecule: ribosomal RNA, 437 nt
Filed under: uncultured Oscillospiraceae bacterium
Lineage: Bacteria; Bacillati; Bacillota; Clostridia; Eubacteriales; Oscillospiraceae
Description: partial 16S ribosomal RNA
Rfam family: Bacterial small subunit ribosomal RNA
Source: RNAcentral
ACGGAAGGCAGCAGUGGGGAGUAUUGGGCAAUGGGCGAAAGCCUGACCCAGCAACGCCGCGUGAAGGAAGAAGGUCUUCGGAUUGUAAACUUCUUUUAUGAGGGACGAAGGAAGUGACGGUACCUCAUGAAUAAGCCACGGCUAACUACGUGCCAGCAGCCGCGGUAAUACGUAGGUGGCAAGCGUUAUCCGGAUUUACUGGGUGUAAAGGGCGCGUAGGCGGGGAGACAAGUCAGAUGUGAAAUCUAUGGGCUUAACCCAUAAACUGCAUUUGAAACUGUAACUUUUGAGUGCUGGAGAGGUAGAUGGAAUUCCUUGUGUAGCGGUGAAAUGCGUAGAUAUAAGGAAGAACACCAGUGGCGAAGGCGAUCUACUGGACAGUAACUUACGCUGAGGCGCGAAAGCGUGGGGAGCGAACAGGAUUAGAUACCCUGGUA